Molecule: long non-coding RNA, 557 nt
Organism: Nicotiana tabacum (common tobacco)
Lineage: Eukaryota; Viridiplantae; Streptophyta; Magnoliopsida; Solanales; Solanaceae
Source: RefSeq, a predicted model, not a curated record
UAUGUCCCUCCAAAUUUUUUUGACAAGAAUGAACGAUUUCCUCCAAUCAGAAAAUAAUAGGAAAACCUAUUCAAUUCACCGAACGGGAUACGGAAGAGAUGAGCGAUUAACAAAAUCACACAGAUAGGUCUCCAGCCAGCUUUUCCCCAGAUACCUGCUCUUCUUCCCCAGGUUUCAAGAUUGUUGCAGAACUCAUUCUUGUCCUUCAAUUUCUUGUCUUUAUCGACGAAAAAAUCUGAUUAACAGGUCCUUGACGCCAACAGUGGCCAUGAAAGAGUACCACAAACAUCAAGGAUACCUAGUGUUACUGAAAAUACUUCAGUGUCUCGCGGUCAUAUAGUCUGAUCAUUGACAAUUUAGUGGGUGAAAGAUUUCCAUAUGAUGAAGCAUUGUAGAAAUUAUUUGAAUACUAUUAUUUGUUAGGAUAAGUUAUAUGACAUAUAAUGAUAUUAGCUAUUUGCUUCAAACAAUACAAAUUUAUUUUUAAGUUAUUGUGAUAUUAAUAUUUUGGAUUAGUAUUUUCUUUUGUUUGUUAAGAUUUAAUGAGAUACAUUAUA